UUUUUUUAUAACUCAGUUCACAUUGUAGUGGGAGAUCAUAGGACUUAGCUUUGCUUCUCUCAGCAAUCCAGUUUAGACUUUUAAGUGGAGUGGCUUUCUGACGGAAACUAGACUAAGCUUAAAAAACAGACUGAAAAAUGAGGAUAUACUUAAGCCACAGGUCAGUCAAGUAAGAAUUAAAUAUACUGCUUUUUACAGUAUAUUUACUGUAUCAAUUGCAUCAGUUUGGAAAUGUAUUUUAAGAAUUUCUUCUAGUUCUAUUUAUCCUUGUGCUGCAGUGUAGGUUGCUAUGACACACAAGGUUAUUUUGAAAUGACUUUGAUAUAUCUGAUACUGAUUUCUGCCUUUGCUAAUCAUGUGUUUCCCUUCCUGUGUAGGGUAAGUGGCAGAAAAUUUCUGAGAAACAUUUGCAUGGAUUGAAGUUUGCUCAGGAGGCAGAUCAGACUAUGAAAAUACAGAAGGCUGAUAUCUUUGUGAGAUUGACAAACAGUAAUGAACUUGUGCAUCAAAAAGUGAAGCAGUGGUUUAAGAUAACUAUUUUUACCAUUCAUUUUUGACGUUUGAUGAAUAACGAGCUUAUUAAAGUUUUUGUGGGUUUGCUUAUGCCGAGUUCUAUUGAAUAUUAAAUAACAAUGCAACAACGCAUUGUGCUUCUAACCAUGUAGUCAGUAUGAUCUACCUAUUGUAUUAGUCUGGUGGUUCAAAGAAUGAACACCAGAUGAUUGAUUUGCCCAAAACCACACUACAUUCACCAUACAACUGGAGUGAGUUGUUAACACAAGCAAGGAGUAAGCUUUGUCACUAGCCACAACACUGAGUUAACAGGAAGGCUCUGCAAGUUUAUCUAAGACAGGUGGGGAACCUGUGGUCUUCCAGAUUUGGACUCUCAACUCCCAUAAGCUCCAACCAGCAUGUUGAGAGGUCAGCUUUUAGCUGCUAAGAUCCUGAGUGGACUUCAUUUAAGCACACUGAAGAAUGCACUGGAGUUUGUUUUGGUUUCCUCUUACCGCUGACGAACUCUGCUAUGCUCAGAUGAGUCGGACUCUUGGAAUGCCGAGACUCUUGGGGGAAGCGUGCCGGACCUCACGCUUAUCUGAGCAAUAAAUCAAGAUAUCCCAGAGGGAGCUAUAGUGCCAGCAACAUCUGAAGGGCCACAGGUUCCCCAAGCCCAAUCCAAGAAAACUCCAUGAUGCCUGGGCAUUGUCAGAUUUUUAGAUGCAUUCAUUUUAGUUCAGAUUGUGGAUAAGCACAGCUUGAUCUCUGUGAUAAUGUGUUUUAUCACAAACUAACAUUGAUGAACAUGGUUAACCUAGAAGUUAUUCUUUCACUUCUGCUUUUCUUUACUGUAACUGUAAAUUUUUUGCUGCCAUUAAGUAAUUCCUUCUAGUGAAUGCAUUUGUCACAUUAAUUUGAAAUUACUAAUAAAAUGAAAACUAUAUAAGCUACGGCUUUGAGGGUUGUUGUUUUCUUUACAAUCAAGCAGUGUUAAAAUUUACGGGCUUUUAUCCAGUAUUGUGUAAGUACACACAGAUGGAUAUCUUCCUUCCCAUUUCUCCCUAACCCCCUAAAGGCUUUCCAGGAGGUCAGGGGUGGGGUGGGGGCUCAAAAUCAGGAAGAGGACUCUUGUGCCAGUAUGCUAUUUUAUUUCCUCCCUCUUUCUAUUGCACCUUCAUUCAACAGUCCACAGUGUUCAGUAGAUGCCACCUGACAUUAUGGCAAGCUUUUGGCAGGUACAGGAAUAUAUAUAUAUAUAGGCGGGAGUGGGGUGGAAGAGAAAUAUCCAUUGGGUGAUCAUGCCUCAUCGUCGCACAACAGAUACAACCCAGUCAGUUUACAUGAAAGGAGAGCACACGUUACUGUUUAGAAGGGUUUAGAGAAAAUGCUGUCUUGAGAACACAACAGUAUUGCAAGUUUAUCUAAAUAUACAAAAAAAAUGUAAACCUCUUCACAGACUGAAUUAAUAGAAAAUGGUUCAGAACUCCCACAUUUUCUCCCUAGACCUACUUGUGUAUGUGCCAAUUGAUAACACUUAAUGCAUCUGAUAAUGUUCUCUAGUCCUCAGAAGCCUGUAUCACAAUAAAUCUCUUAAGUUUUUAAAGUGCUAAAAGUCUUGUAUUUGAGUGAACAUCACACUUCUGGUAUUCUUCAAUAGAAACAUACUAUAAGUAGAGGAUGAAAUAAUAACUGCUUUAAAGUUUUUUUCAAACUUGUGUAGUCAGGUUUAUAUUUAGAGCAACAGCGGCAUAUGAUUGCUUUGUUUUCUGGUUGCUUGUGAUUCACUCUCCUAAAACAUGAAUGAAACGAACAUGCUUUGUAUUCAGUAUUUGUAUUUCUCUUACAUGUGAUUAUGUUUUGCUAAAUAAAUAUCAUCCACUACUUGAAGCAUA
Molecule: non-coding RNA, 2387 nt
Organism: Podarcis lilfordi (Lilford's wall lizard)
Lineage: Eukaryota; Metazoa; Chordata; Lepidosauria; Squamata; Lacertidae
Source: the annotation of a GenBank genome assembly